Molecule: transfer RNA, 75 nt
Filed under: Methylocaldum gracile
Lineage: Bacteria; Pseudomonadati; Pseudomonadota; Gammaproteobacteria; Methylococcales; Methylococcaceae
Also listed under: 8 other names
Description: tRNA-Val
Rfam family: tRNA
About the family: Transfer RNA (tRNA) molecules are approximately 80 nucleotides in length. Their secondary structure includes four short double-helical elements and three loops (D, anti-codon, and T loops). Further hydrogen bonds mediate the characteristic L-shaped molecular structure. tRNAs have two regions of fundamental functional importance: the anti-codon, which is responsible for specific mRNA codon recognition, and the 3' end, to which the tRNAs corresponding amino acid is attached (by aminoacyl-tRNA synthetases). tRNAs cope with the degeneracy of the genetic code in two manners: having more than one tRNA (with a specific anti-codon) for a particular amino acid; and 'wobble' base-pairing, i.e. permitting non-standard base-pairing at the 3rd anti-codon position.
Source: RNAcentral
GGGCGGUUAGCUCAGCGGGAGAGCACUGCCUUCACACGGCAGGGGUCGCAGGUUCGAACCCUGCACCGCCCACCA